RNAcentral lists this ribosomal RNA (673 nucleotides) under uncultured bacterium. RNAcentral's name for it is "bacterial SSU rRNA". It matches the Rfam family "Bacterial small subunit ribosomal RNA", at positions 830 to 1500 of the family's 1533-position model. The record is from RNAcentral.
UUUCCGCCCCUUAGUGCUGCAGCUAACGCAUUAAGCACUCCGCNUGGGGAGUACGGUCGCAAGACUGAAACUCAAAGGAAUUGACGGGGGCCCGCACAAGCGNUGGAGCAUGUGGUUUAAUUCGAAGCAACGCGAAGAACCUUACCAGGUCUUGACAUCCCGCUGACCGCCCAUGGAGACAUGGCUUUCCCUUNCGGGGACAGCGGUGACAGGUGGUGCAUGGUUGUCGUCAGCUCGUGUCGUGAGAUGUUGGGUUAAGUCCCGCAACGAGCGCAACCCUUGUCCUUAGUUGCCAUCAUUCAGUUGGGCACUCUAAGGAGACUGCCGUAAUAAAACGGAGGAAGGUGGGGAUGACGUCAAAUCAUCAUGCCCCUUAUGACCUGGGCUACACACGUGCUACAAUGGACGGUACAAACGGUCGCGAAGUCGCGAGACGGAGCCAAUCCGAGAAAACCGUUCUCAGUUCGGAUUACAGGCUGCAACUCGCCUGCAUGAAGCCGGAAUCGCUAGUAAUCGCGGAUCAGCAUGCCGCGGUGAAUACGUUCCCGGGCCUUGUACACACCGCCCGUCACACCACGAGAGUUUGUAACACCCGAAGUCGGUGAGGUAACCCUUUGGGGCCAGCCGCCGAAGGUGGGACAGAUGAUUGGGGUGAAGUCGUAACCAAGGUACC